CCUUCCCUUCCCUUCCCUUCCCUUCCCUUCCCUUCCCUUCCCCAACUUUAAAAGUUAUCAGGUUAUUUUUUCUUUCCAUGGAGGGUCCCAGACCCCAGGACAGCAGCGCUGGAUGGGGAUUCAGGAGGUUUGGGAAUGUUUUAUUCCCACAGCUGCUCUGGGAAUUCUAUUCCAGGGUUUCCCCACCCUCACAGGGAAUAAUUUCUUCCUAAUCUCUGAAACCAGCCUUUCCUCUGGCAGUUUGAAGCCAUUCCCCCUUGUCUAUCACUCUCUCCAUGUUCUUUCAGGCUCCCUUCAGGUACUGGAAGGGACAAUUUGGUGACCCCAGAGCCUCUUGCAGCAGCUUUGGCCCCCCUGCAGUUCACUCCCCGCUGAGGGAGGAAAGCUGCCCAUUUUCCAUGGUUUAAUGACAGGACAGCUGGAUGUGGGGAUGAUGGCAAGGUGCUCAGCCACGAUGCUCACAGGUGACACAACAUCCACAGCACUCUCCUGGAACCUCAGCACGGAGAGCCACAGCUCUGCCCUCCCCAGCACGGAUUGAUCAUCACAGAGAACAACAAGCAGCAGCUGGUGCCUUCCACUCGUGCUCCCAGAAGAAGCACAAAGACACCUUUGGAGACACUACAGGACAAAGAAUUGGGAAGAAAAGGUAAAGCUGGGGGCUGUUCCAGGAGCCCAAGUGUCACAGCUGGGCUCCCUGGGAUGGGUGAGGACGGGGGGUCCCUGGAGGAGGGAAGAGGGGCUGGCAGCUCAGGCUGCACGUGCCUGCAGAGCAGGAGGUGCUCAACUCCCACCAGGAAUCCAGUGCCUUGCCCGAACGCCUCCAUCACUAAUCUAAAAUUUGUCUGCCUUCUGCAUUUGAUCUCCUCAUUUUCCUCUUCUAUGCCUUUUUAAUGCUGUUUGUAGCCUUUUCAAUUAUGUGAUUUCCUUAUCUGUGUACCAUGGAGAAUACUGUACAAGGCUUUAUAAACAGCUCCUAAGUUUAUCUGCCUGUCAUUUGCUUUUCAUUAUGCGAGAUAACAAUCUUCCUCAUAUCUUAUAAGAAGAUAGAAUGUGAUUGUUUUGAAAUGGGGAGGGGGGAAAAAGUCUACUCUGCAUUAUCCUCAGCCCCGUAGCGUUUGGAACGUCACCAGUGUCAGCACAAUCGCCAACAUUUUUCCUUGCUGUGGUCCAGGAAGAAUUAUCUCCGUAGUUUUUUUGUGCUUGCUGCUAUCUCCUCUUUUUCUCCAUUUUAGACACAGAGAGGUUCUUAUCUGGAGCGUGGUUCUGCAGCUACAGAUUUGCCUAAAUUCAGUGUGAUGGCUCCAAACCCUUUGGUGGAGCUCGUGCACCGAGGGGAAGGGUGAGAGGCAAUUGUCAGCAGCUCGCUGGAUUAAAUACGGACAGAUAUUAUUCAUGUCAUUUGACAGUUCCUGACUUUCAGCUGUAUAAUGACAGAGCAACAGUAGGAAUUCCAGCAGCCCAGCUUCUGUCUUACUUCAAGAUAAGCUUAUCAAGCGUAGCCUGAAUCCAUCCAGCUCCUCAGCAGAUCAGAACUCGUGUCAGGCUGAACGGCCCUGCCGAUUCCUGCCUCCUCCCCUGCUCUGAUUUUUCCCAUCUCACGCUGCCUUGCAGGGUUUUUAGCAGAGCCUGUGCCUUGCCUGUGCUCAGCUCCUUGUCCAGGAGCCUCCUGGUGCCCCUGAGUGCCCCAGGAACAGGAACAGGGAAGGAAGGGACCGGGUGAUGGUCAGCCCCGGUGGGGUUUGCUCUCUUCAUCCAUUCCUUGGUCUACAAAGAGCAGCUGCUUUGUUUGGCUUCUUAAGGUGAAAAAGCCAGCCUGAGGUUUCUGCUGUGCUUUUAUCCCAGGGGUUCAGAGGGAUCUCUGAACAAUGCAGGAAUCACAGCUGUCCCUGCA
This is a long non-coding RNA of Parus major (Great Tit), 1894 nucleotides long. The record is from Ensembl. Lineage: Eukaryota; Metazoa; Chordata; Aves; Passeriformes; Paridae.